This 76-nucleotide transfer RNA is filed under the name Candidatus Solibacter sp. RNAcentral describes it as "tRNA-Ile". It matches the Rfam family "tRNA". Rfam says of the family: Transfer RNA (tRNA) molecules are approximately 80 nucleotides in length. Their secondary structure includes four short double-helical elements and three loops (D, anti-codon, and T loops). Further hydrogen bonds mediate the characteristic L-shaped molecular structure. tRNAs have two regions of fundamental functional importance: the anti-codon, which is responsible for specific mRNA codon recognition, and the 3' end, to which the tRNAs corresponding amino acid is attached (by aminoacyl-tRNA synthetases). tRNAs cope with the degeneracy of the genetic code in two manners: having more than one tRNA (with a specific anti-codon) for a particular amino acid; and 'wobble' base-pairing, i.e. permitting non-standard base-pairing at the 3rd anti-codon position. Lineage: Bacteria; Pseudomonadati; Acidobacteriota; Terriglobia; Bryobacterales; Solibacteraceae. RNAcentral also lists the same sequence under 4 other names. The record is from RNAcentral.
GGGCCUGUAGCUCAAUGGUUAGAGCAGCAGACUCAUAAUCUGUUGGUUGUAGGUUCGAGUCCUACCGGGCCCACCA